Molecule: small nucleolar RNA, 103 nt
Organism: Pteronotus mesoamericanus
Lineage: Eukaryota; Metazoa; Chordata; Mammalia; Chiroptera; Mormoopidae
Product: small nucleolar RNA U13
Exons: 1
Source: RefSeq, a predicted model, not a curated record
AUUCUAAUGUAGUUCAUAGUGUGAAGAUUGGGUGUUUGUGCUCUUGUGUGAGAUGUGCCUCCCUCAAACCUUGUUAUGACAUUGGCACAUUACCCAUCUGACC